GUCAGGCGCGGUGGCACGUGCCUGUAGUCCCAGCUACUCGGGAGGCUGAGGUGGGAGGAUCGCUUGAGCCCAGGAGUUCUGGGCUGUAGUGCGCUAUGCCGAUGGGGUGUCCGCACUAAGUUUGGCAUCAAUAUGGUGACCUCCUGGGAGGGAGGGACCACCAGGUUGCCUAAGGAGGGGUGAAUCGGCCCAGGUUGGAAACGGAGCAGGUCAUAAACUCCCAUGCUGAUCGGUAGUGGGAUCGUGCCUGUGAACAGCCACUGCACUCUAGCCUGGGCAACAUAGCGAGACCCUGUCUCU
RNAcentral lists this signal recognition particle RNA (300 nucleotides) under Saimiri boliviensis boliviensis (Bolivian squirrel monkey). Its description in RNAcentral is "Metazoan signal recognition particle RNA (ENSSBOG00000003286.1)". It matches the Rfam family "Metazoan signal recognition particle RNA". Rfam says of the family: The signal recognition particle (SRP) is a universally conserved ribonucleoprotein. It is involved in the co-translational targeting of proteins to membranes. The record is from RNAcentral. Lineage: Eukaryota; Metazoa; Chordata; Mammalia; Primates; Cebidae.